This 203-nucleotide ribosomal RNA is filed under the name uncultured bacterium. RNAcentral describes it as "partial 16S ribosomal RNA". It matches the Rfam family "Bacterial small subunit ribosomal RNA", at positions 328 to 538 of the family's 1533-position model. The record is from RNAcentral.
ACGCUCGACACCUACUGGAGGCAGCAGUGGGGAAUAUUGCACAAUGGGGGAAACCCUGAUGCAGCGACGCCGCGUGAGCGAAGAAGUAUUUCGGUAUGUAAAGCUCUAUCAGCAGGGAAGAAGAAAGACGGUACCUGACUAAGAAGCCCCGGCUAACUACGUGCCAGCAGCCGACGGUAAUCUGAGGCGGGCUGGACGAAGGC